AAGUCGUACAGGUCUCCGUAGGUGAACCUGCGGAGGGAUCAUUACACAAAUAUGAAGGCGGGCUGGAACCUCUCGGGGUUACAGCCUUGCUGAAUUAUUCACCCUUGUCUUUUGCGUACUUCUUGUUUCCUUGGUGGGUUCGCCCACCACUAGGACAAACAUAAACCUUUUGUAAUUGCAAUCAGCGUCAGUAACAAAUUAAUAAUUACAACUUUCAACAACGGAUCUCUUGGUUCUGGCAUCGAUGAAGAACGCAGCGAAAUGCGAUAAGUAGUGUGAAUUGCAGAAUUCAGUGAAUCAUCGAAUCUUUGAACGCACAUUGCGCCCUUUGGUAUUCCAAAGGGCAUGCCUGCUCGAGCGUCAUUUGUACCCUCAAGCUUUGCUUGGUGUUGGGCGUCUUGUCUCUAGCUUUGCUGGAGACUCGCCUUAAAGUAAUUGGCAGCCGGCCUACUGGUUUCGGAGCGCAGCACAAGUCGCACUCUCUAUCAGCAAAGGUCUAGCAUCCAUUAAGCCUUUUUUUCAACUUUUGACCUCGGAUCAGGUAGGGAUACCCGCUGAACUUA
This 563-nucleotide ribosomal RNA is filed under the name uncultured fungus. Its description in RNAcentral is "eukaryotic LSU rRNA". The stretch from base 210 to 363 matches the Rfam family "5.8S ribosomal RNA". Lineage: Eukaryota; Fungi. The record is from RNAcentral.